GAACAUACCACUUGUUGCCUCGGCGGAUCAGCCCGCUCCCGGUAAAACGGGACGGCCCGCCAGAGGACCCCUAAACUCUGUUUCUAUAUGUAACUUCUGAGUAAAACCAUAAAUAAAUCAAAACUUUCAACAACGGAUCUCUUGGUUCUGGCAUCGAUGAAGAACGCAGCAAAAUGCGAUAAGUAAUGUGAAUUGCAGAAUUCAGUGAAUCAUCGAAUCUUUGAACGCACAUUGCGCCCGCCAGUAUUCUGGCGGGCAUGCCUGUUCGAGCGUCAUUUCAACCCUCAAGCACAGCUUGGUGUUGGGACUCGCGUUAAUUCGCGUUCCUCAAAUUGAUUGGCGGUCACGUCGAGCUUCCAUAGCGUAGUAGUAAAACCCUCGUUACUGGUAAUCGUCGCGGCCACGCCGUUAAACCCCAACUUCUGAAUGUUGACCUCGGAUCAGGUAGGAAUACCCGCUGAACUUAAGCAUA
RNAcentral lists this ribosomal RNA (472 nucleotides) under Fusarium oxysporum. RNAcentral describes it as "eukaryotic LSU rRNA". The stretch from base 122 to 275 matches the Rfam family "5.8S ribosomal RNA". The record is from RNAcentral. Lineage: Eukaryota; Fungi; Ascomycota; Sordariomycetes; Hypocreales; Nectriaceae.